AUGAACGCUAGCGGCAGGCCUAAUACAUGCAAGUCGAGCGGCAAGUCGAGGAGUAAUCUAAGACCUAGAGCGGCGCACGGGUGCGUAACGCGUAUGCAACCUACCUUAUACGUGGGGGAUAGCCCGGAGAAAUCUGGAUUAACUACCCCAUGGCACAUAUUGAUGGCAUCUGAGAUAUGUUAAAGAUUUAUUGGUAUAAGAUGGGCAUGCGUCUGAUUAGCUAGUUGGCGGUGUAACGGACCACCAAGGCGACGAUCAGUAGGGGUUCUGAGAGGAAGGUCCCCCACACUGGCACUGAGAUACGGGCCAGACUCCUACGGGAGGCAGCAGUAGGGAAUAUUGGGCAAUGGUCGGAAGACUGACCCAGCCAUGCCGCGUGCAGGAAGACGGCCCUCUGGGUUGUAAACUGUCUUUUAUCUGGGAAGAAAAAGGCCAUGCGUGGCAAAUUGCCGGUACCAGAUGAAUAAGCACCGGCUAACUCCGUG
Molecule: ribosomal RNA, 485 nt
Filed under: uncultured bacterium
Lineage: Bacteria
Description: bacterial SSU rRNA
Rfam family: Bacterial small subunit ribosomal RNA
Source: RNAcentral